AAGUGGCCAGACCUCUCCAAACUGUGGGGUUUGAGUGAGAGGUCUGACUGGCGUCUCCAAGUGGCCACACCUCUCCAAACUGUGCAUAGUUCCUAAGUAAUUUCAAUGCACCUUUCUGACUUAAAGAAGUCUUCAGCUAUAAGGUGCUUUUUUGAGCUCUCCUAGCUGGACCGUUGAGGAACUAGAGGAAGCACACUUGUAGUUGUUUUCUUUGGAACACAGCCCUUCCUCCUCGUCAUCACACAUUUACUGCUGUUGUUUAGGCAAACUAAACACUGUCAUUAUAAAUAGCAAUCUGGGUCAGGUGGGCAUCAUUUAAAAGCCUGUUCUGUUGCCAACAUGACUAGCUAAGAUAUAAAAUAUGACAUUACAGUGUUAGGCUUUCACAAGGCAAUUCAGAGAAACAGACCAUGAUGUUGGCGUGCAGAGAAAGGAGUGAUGACCGUAUUCACGUGUGUGUGCAGAGGCUAACAUAGUCUCAUUCUGUUCAGAACAACCCAGGGUAUGACGACAAGUCAUCUGGUAACUACAUCAAACAUAGUCUCAUUCUGUUCAGAACAACCCAGGGUAUGACGACAAGUCAUCUGGUAACUGUACAUCAAACAUAGUCUCAUUCUGUUCAGAACAACCCAGGGUAUGACGACAGUCAUCUGGUAACUACAUCUAACAUAGUCUCAUUCUGUUCAGAACAACCCAGGGUAUGACGACAAGUCAUCUGGUAACUGUACAUCAAACAUAGUCUCAUUCUGUUCAGAACAACCCAGGGUAUGACGACAAGUCAUCUGGUAACUGUACAUCAAACAUAGUCUCAUUCUGUUCAGAACAACCCAGGGUAUGACGACAAGUCAUCUGGUAACUACAUCAACCAUAGUCUCAUUCUGUUCAGAACAACCCAGGGUAUGACGAUAAGUCAUCUGGUAACUGUACUCACAGGCGAUGCAUGACAUCAAAGCGAUAUUUAUUAUAAUCCUCAACAUAAUGCAUAUUGUCCUCUUAAUUGACAGCAUUUUCACUCAGACAACAAAACAUUUGCAAAAGUUACGAGGAGGGAUGGGUUGCAGCUUUACGUUGCGUGAGGUUCUCAAGUUCAGAAUGUCUGUCAGUCAAAACUCAUACAUCGCUGUGAUGAGCAUUACGUUCCAAUUUAGGUAUUUAUUGGUGCCCAAAUCUGCCAUUUUCAACCCGGAUGGAUACGAGUACGAGUGUAAAGGGUUAAGGUUAGGAUUGGGGGAGGGGAAGCUGAUCCUAGAUCUGUACCUAGGGAGCUUAGUCCUGUGCGAUGUUGAAUGUCUGGGGUUAGAGGUUAGAGAUCGGGGUUUAAAGGUCAGGGGUCAGUCCACUUGCAUGUUACGUAGCAGCAGUCCUUUCUUCACCCCUCCCUGCAGCAUCCUGGCACCUAGACUACUGCCAGCCGUACCAUCA
Long non-coding RNA from Oncorhynchus tshawytscha (Chinook salmon), 1422 nucleotides. NCBI's taxonomy places the organism in Eukaryota, Metazoa, Chordata, Actinopteri, Salmoniformes, Salmonidae. The record is from Ensembl.